Long non-coding RNA from Nymphalis io (European peacock), 410 nucleotides. RefSeq lists it as uncharacterized. The record is from RefSeq and is a predicted model, not a curated record. The transcript is spliced from 3 exons. Lineage: Eukaryota; Metazoa; Arthropoda; Insecta; Lepidoptera; Nymphalidae.
CUUCAACUGUUACUACGGAUAGCAUGCACAAUCGUUUAAAAACUGAUGCGCCUGUAUAUUAUAGACCGUAUAAAUUAUCAUUUAAAUAAAAACUAAAAAGCCGGGUGUAACAUAUCGCCAAUUAUUACGGCAUGUUCAAUCUAAGGGAAAAUUGGAUCCCGGAAUGCAUGGCUCUUAUAAGGUGACGAGACUUCUUGAGAGUGGACGUGAUGAGUUACAGCUUGUGGCUGGGGACUAUGGUAAGCUGACUUAUGCUGCUGCUCAGUAUAUGGUGCCUUGGAGAGGAGAAUGGACACCUGACGAAUGUGCUGCAUUCUUUGCGACUUCAAGGAAGUUCAUAAACCUUCAUGUCGAAGUGGGCAGGUUCAAUGCAGAAAAUGCAAGAUUGGAUUAUACAAGGGUUUAACGAC